AGGUGAAAUGAUGAAUUAACAUUACCGCCCCAGUCUGAAAAUUCGUGACUGAUUGGUAACCCCUCUGAUCACAA
Molecule: small nucleolar RNA, 74 nt
Organism: Myripristis murdjan (pinecone soldierfish)
Lineage: Eukaryota; Metazoa; Chordata; Actinopteri; Holocentriformes; Holocentridae
Source: Ensembl